CCAUCCGCUCUCCCACUGACCAGAUCAAACCCCGCACCUUGGUUGAGCUUGUCUUAAUAAGCCUUAAUGUCUCUGGUAAUGAAUCAUGUAACUCUUGUUCUCUAAGGUCGGAGCUGUCGCUCUGCCGCUCUCCUUAUCGGCACUGAGCUGAUCUGAAGGUUGCUGAAAGCACGGGCACCACCCGCCCCCUGCCUCUGUCCUGCUGGGACACGCACUCAAAGACAAGACAGACAGAGGUCAUACCCUUACUGGCUAAGCAGUUGUGCUGGACACUGAACUCUACAGUAGUUUCUGUCAUCUCGCCUUGCUUUAAUGAGAUUUAGUGGAUAAUAGGCUGCUGGCUCCUGCUCAUUGAUCCAGACAAGCACAUCUCCCAGCAGCUUAAAGAACCAAGGCUUGCCACAUUGAUUGCAGCGAGCCCUGGACAACUUAUUUGGAGACACAAUAUCAUGGAAAACCUGACUGCCUCAACCAGGAAGCUUAAACUGGGCUGUUUUUGGAUCUUCCAGCAGUCAGCAGUCAGUUCACUGACCACAGAAUCAAGGUUUUGCCAUGGCAAUCCCAGUCCCCUGACCUGAACCCCUUAGAAAACCUGAGGGAUGAGCUGAAGAGGAGAGUUCACAUGUGUGGACUACUGACUCUGGAGAGAUACUGUAUGAAGGAAUGGUCUCAGAUCCCUCGCCAUGUGUUCUUCUGUCUUCUGAGAAGACUUAGAGCUGUUAUCUUUGCAGAGGGAGGCUGCACAAAGUAUUACAUGAAGGAGUGCCAACAAUUGUAUUGCCAACAAUAUUUGUUUCAUGAUCAGGCUUAUGUUAUUUUUAAGUUUUAAUCAUUAAACUUCAAAUGAAAGUUA
Pygocentrus nattereri (red-bellied piranha) is the source of this 853-nucleotide long non-coding RNA. RefSeq lists it as uncharacterized. The record is from RefSeq and is a predicted model, not a curated record. NCBI's taxonomy places the organism in Eukaryota, Metazoa, Chordata, Actinopteri, Characiformes, Serrasalmidae. The transcript is spliced from 4 exons.